Molecule: long non-coding RNA, 283 nt
Filed under: Lathyrus oleraceus (garden pea)
Lineage: Eukaryota; Viridiplantae; Streptophyta; Magnoliopsida; Fabales; Fabaceae
Description: Pisum sativum (pea) long non-coding RNA (PSAT_LNC017967)
Source: RNAcentral
CAAUGCGAUCUACUGGGGAAAACAUCUUACUCUGCUGAAGAUCAACCCUGCAGAAGAAACAUGAACUUCGUUGGAGAAAACAGAAACAUCGCCGGGUAAAUAACAUGCCGCAAGGUACUGAAUCAACCAACUCAGUUAGGGAAAAGGAUCGGAACUCUGCUAGGGAACAAACACUCCGUAGGGGAACCGGAUCAACACAGACAACUAGGGACACCCGAAGGGUUAACUGUUUGGGGGACCUCUGAUGUUUCACACUUAAGGACUUGAUGCUCUUUGAAGUGUU